GAUGAACGCUGGCGGCGUGCCUAAUACAUGCAAGUCGAGCGAACGGACGAGAAGCUUGCUUCUCUGAUGUUAGCGGCGGACGGGUGAGUAACACGUGGAUAACCUACCUAUAAGUCUGGGAUAAUUUCGGGAAACCGGAGCUAAUACCGGAUAAUAUUUUGAACCGCAUGGUUCAAAAGUGAAAGACGGUCUUGCUGUCACUUAUAGAUGGAUCCGCGCUGCAUUAGCUAGUUGGUAAGGUAACGGCUUACCAAGGCAACGAUGCAUAGCCGACCUGAGAGGGUGAUCGGCCACACUGGAACUGAGACACGGUCCAGACUCCUACGGGAGGCAGCAGUAGGGAAUCUUCCGCAAUGGGCGAAAGCCUGACGGAGCAACGCCGCGUGAGUGAUGAAGGUCUUCGGAUCGUAAAACUCUGUUAUUAGGGAAGAACAUAUGUGUAAGUAACUGUGCACAUCUUGACGGUACCUAAUCAGAAAGCCACGGCUAACUACGUG
RNAcentral lists this ribosomal RNA (497 nucleotides) under uncultured bacterium. Its description in RNAcentral is "partial 16S ribosomal RNA". It matches the Rfam family "Bacterial small subunit ribosomal RNA", at positions 28 to 507 of the family's 1533-position model. The record is from RNAcentral.